Molecule: long non-coding RNA, 217 nt
Organism: Dama dama (fallow deer)
Lineage: Eukaryota; Metazoa; Chordata; Mammalia; Artiodactyla; Cervidae
Exons: 3
Source: RefSeq, a predicted model, not a curated record
AGAUUUGACUGGGAAGUAUCGAAGAACCCUUAUAAAAUGCAUCUGCUAAACUUAUUUUCACACAGUUUAUCCUUCAAUUCAAUCAAGUAUGGUUGGUCACACUUCUUAAGGAAAUUUAUUUCAUUCCGUGGCUUGAACCAAUCAGAUUCACAUGCCUGAGAUGAACCCCUGCUCCUGGCAGCUCAGAAAUCAUUCAGGAAUGCAGACUUAUAAGUAA